GGAGCCCAGCCCUGGACUCCCAGCUCAGCCCACUCAGUGAUCAGGACUGAACACAGCUGCUCACCAUGGAGAGUGUGCUCAGCUGGGUUUUCCUGGUGGCUGUUUUCAAAGGUGUCCAGUGUGUGGUGCAGCUGGUGGAGUCUGGGGGAGGCCUGGUGCAAUCUGGUGCACCUGACCCUGCAGCUCUGCACAGGAGCCCAACCCUGAGACUCUCCUGUGCAGCCUCUGGAUUCACCUUCAGUGAUUACUACAUGCACUGGGUCUGCCAGGCUCCAGGGAAGGGGCUGGAGUGGGUCUCAUACAUUAGUGGUGGUAGCAGUGACAUAAACUAUGCCAACUCCGUGAAGGGCCAAUUCACCAUCUCCAGAGACAACUCCAAGAACACACUGUACCUGCAAAUGAGCAGUCUGAGAGUCGAGGACACUGCCACCUAUUACUGUGCCAGAGACACAGUGAGGGGACCUCAGUGUGAGGCCUGA
Molecule: non-coding RNA, 479 nt
Organism: Marmota monax (woodchuck)
Lineage: Eukaryota; Metazoa; Chordata; Mammalia; Rodentia; Sciuridae
Source: the annotation of a RefSeq genome assembly